Molecule: small RNA, 120 nt
Filed under: Microcebus murinus (gray mouse lemur)
Lineage: Eukaryota; Metazoa; Chordata; Mammalia; Primates; Cheirogaleidae
Description: Y RNA (ENSMICG00000026075.3)
Source: RNAcentral
UUCUGGGCAAGAGAGCGUGGGUCACAUUUUCUGAAAGACCCUCUUCUUUCAGAACUUAUUAACAUUAGUGUCACUAAAGUUGGUAUUCAACCCCCCACUGCUAAAUUUGACUGGCUUUAA